This 255-nucleotide unclassified non-coding RNA is filed under the name plant metagenome. Its description in RNAcentral is "partial contains small subunit ribosomal RNA, internal transcribed spacer 1, and 5.8S ribosomal RNA". The stretch from base 1 to 53 matches the Rfam family "Eukaryotic small subunit ribosomal RNA", at positions 1778 to 1831 of the family's 1831-position model. The record is from RNAcentral.
GGAAGUAAAGUCGUAACAAGGUUUCCGUAGGUGAACCUGCAGAAGGAUCAUUCGCAAUAAGUGUUUUAUGGCACUUUUUAAAAUCCAUACCCACCUUGUGUGCAAUGUUGGGUCGUCCAUCAAGUAGUUUACGCUACAGCGAGGGAUGGCUUUUAACUAAACUCUUAUUCUCAUAACGAAUCUGUCUGAUAACAUAUUUUCGAAUUUACUUAAUUCAGAUAAAUACAACUUUCAACAACGGAUCUCUUGGCUCUC